Cuculus canorus (common cuckoo) is the source of this 1811-nucleotide long non-coding RNA. RefSeq lists it as uncharacterized. NCBI's taxonomy places the organism in Eukaryota, Metazoa, Chordata, Aves, Cuculiformes, Cuculidae. The record is from RefSeq and is a predicted model, not a curated record. The transcript has 5 exons.
AGCAGCAUAACAAAGCUGCAAUAACAGGGCUGGAAGUAUUUUCCAUUUCCCAAAUACUCCAGAGAAAUGUAAUGUUUUUGUCUAUAGGUGGUGCUGCUUGAGCCUGGAAAAAAGAGACGCGUAUCUCCAUAGCCUUGUGGUCCCCAGAUGGUGUUUCCCUGGGCGGUGUAAGACCAGCUCUGAGUCCCCAUAAGCAAGUCUGGUUUGGGAUCUCAGUGUCUGGGGACUCUAAAACAUCACAGUAGGAACAAAGCUCAGCUGUUUGGUGCUGGGCUUUAGACCUCUUGAUGUUAUUUGCGGUUAAAUGUAAACUCGUAAAGCAAAAGCAGUGAAGUGGAGUUGUCAUGAGUGCAAUGCUAACAGCUUCCCAAGGCUGUAGCACAGAAGUCUCUUCCCUCCGAUUUGUUUGGGAUUGGACAUUUUAGUUGUCUGUGCCCAUCGUUUCAGUGCAAGAAUUCAAAUCAGUUAGUCCUUUUUCACAGUGCUUUUUGGGGGGCAGUGACUGAGGAGCAAAACCGAUCAUUCGUGUUGUCCCAUUCCAAUUUUAUAUUUCUCAUUUUCUAAUUUUGACCUUGGAAAUGCACAGUGCUAUAAAACACUGUUUUCUUAAGAAAAGCAAGAGAGGAUGAAGCUAGAAGACUGGGUCAGAUACAGCAGUCAGACAAACAGCAGUUUUAUGUCAGAAAACAUUAUAAUAAUUGUGGAAUAUACAAUUGCUGUGCUGACAAAACCGAAAAAGUGCUUUUCAUCUAAACAAAUUUGUUUGAUUUAUUGUGUUUUAUAUGUAUGUUUUAUUUAAUAUUUCCACCCUCCUUAAACACCCGGUGACUUUCCAAGAGAGUUGGAGAACUACAAGGCUGUGGUUUUGGCAUCGCCGAUGACCUCAUUACUGAUCAGAAAACAUCUGGGUAAGCAGAGCAGUGUGUGUGUGCGUUCCGAAAGCUGUGGAUGGAUUAGCAAGCCUUGUCUGCACGGGCCACCGCAUUGUGCAUCUCCCUUGGAAAAAGUCCUGUGACUUUGUUCCUGAAGGAUGCCAAAGUGAUUAAACUGAUAUUCAAACUCUUUGGAUCGCAUCACCCACAACUGAAAUGCAGCCAUCUCUGGGGUGAAAUAUUGCAGCUGUUUAACAACGUUCAACAGCACUGUAUAACGGCUUUGGAAAUGAAGAAUACCUUAUUCAAAUGAAAACGGGGACAUUUAGAGUUGUGCUAAAGCUGUUGAUGCCAUUAGACUUUCAUCAUAAGUCUACUGCUCCUGAAUUAAACAGACAGGACUUGAAACGUGAACUGCAUCCGUCAAUCUCGGUGUAACAAUACGUUUAGCUCGGGCACAUCAUCAGCGUUGAAAGAAAACGUUUGUCAAAGCUAAAAUACAAGCAUCUCUGUGCUUAUUGAUGUGCAAUUACAUCCAAACACGUGCACCAGGACUGCGCUCUUUCUCGUUAUCCAGUUGUCAGAGAUGAUCAAAAUAUCACGCCUAUGGAUUUCUUCAGUACGUGUGCAGUAAACCUUUCACUGAGCUUUCUCUAGCUGGAGCUAUCACGUGAAGGAGUACCAUGGAAGCAUCAGUCCUCAUCAGAUGGACAAAUUCCCCUUUACUGAUUUAUAAUUUUACCAAUACCUCAUCAGGCUUCUUGGGUUUAAUGUCUUGUUGAACAGACUCCUGACUGCCUAAAGUGAUAGGAUGAGAGGAAAUGGCCUCAAGUUACAUCAGGGCAGAUCCAGACUGGACAUCAGGAGAAAUUUCUUUACUGAAAGCAUUCUCAGAGACUGCCCAAGAAGGUGGUGGAGAUCCCAUUCCUGGACGGGUUU